RNAcentral lists this long non-coding RNA (972 nucleotides) under Sinocyclocheilus anshuiensis. Its description in RNAcentral is "lncRNA (ENSSANG00000000478.1)". The record is from RNAcentral. Lineage: Eukaryota; Metazoa; Chordata; Actinopteri; Cypriniformes; Cyprinidae.
CUUUGAGCUACAUGUGUGCUGUGAGGGUAUAUAUGUUCUGUACAGAUGGCAUGUGGAUGUUAAUGCAUGAGAAAAAAAUAUAGGCUACAGCAAAUGUAUUAGCCUACACAGAUGUAAAAUGAACAGUUUCGUCUUUUUAACACAGUAUAUUGGAUUGUUGUCAUAUGCUGUCUCGUGUCCUCCAGCAACUUUCGCUUUUGUUAGCAUCGACUGAAAACCAGUCGAUCAGGUUGAACCGCGCAGUACAGAAGUCGACAGCUCACACUUUACGAAGCUCUCGCUUUUCGCUGGUGUUUGGAGAUUUUCCCACAGUCAUGUCAGAGGGACAGUCGGAUGAUGGAAUGGAAUGCCAGGAAUAUGGAAAUCCACAGCCCAUCAAUAUCUCAAGCAGUGCUGAUCAAGAUAUGGAGGAUGUAAGUCAGGGUUCUAAUGCUCAGAAUUUACCAUCAAGCCGUGUUGAAGGUCAAGACUCUAGAUCAUCUCUGGAUGAACAGAAGCAUCAGGAUAUCACAACAAACAAAUCAGACUCACAGCCAGAGGAGGACAUUUGUAAAAAUGGUGAUAUAAACACAACCCAAUCACAACCCUCAGCACCACUGGAUAUUGCCAACUUGAAAAUCAAAGUGGACUGGACAGAACCAUUUCCAGAUAAAUGGAGUAAAAAAUUACAGAUUGCCAUUCAGAGAUGGUUGUCCAAACUGGAAGGAGCACCAUCUGUCCACAGCAUUAAACUCAUGGAUGAUCAAUCAUUGGCACAGGUGCAGAUUACACCAUCAACGGCUCUAGAAACUUUAGAAAAUCAUGGGACUGUAUCUUUGAAUUUUAAACAUGAAAAUAAGGAUGCGACUGCGCAGAUUUUUCUGGAUGAAGCACAUUCUGUGACUGUAUCACAAAACACCUCCACGUCGGACAAGAACAGAAUUCCAUCAUCAAAGGUAUCAAGUUUACUUUUUUAAGGUUUUGAUUGCUUAG